UACGUAGGGUGCGAGCGUUGUCCGGAAUUAUUGGGCGUAAAGGGCUCGUAGGCGGUUUGUCGCGUCGGGAGUGAAAUCCACUGGCUUAACUGGUGGCUUGCUUUCGAUACGGGCAGACUGGAGGUAUGCAGGGGGAGAACGGAAUUCCUGGUGUAGCGGUGAAAUGCGCAGAUAUCAGGAGGAACACCGGUGGCGAAGGCGGUUCUCUGGGCAUGUCCUGACGCUGAGGAACGAAAGUGUGGGGAGCGAACAGG
This 254-nucleotide ribosomal RNA is filed under the name uncultured bacterium. RNAcentral's name for it is "partial 16S ribosomal RNA". It matches the Rfam family "Bacterial small subunit ribosomal RNA", at positions 524 to 776 of the family's 1533-position model. The record is from RNAcentral.